This 465-nucleotide ribosomal RNA is filed under the name Vreelandella stevensii. RNAcentral describes it as "partial 16S ribosomal RNA". It matches the Rfam family "Bacterial small subunit ribosomal RNA", at positions 338 to 795 of the family's 1533-position model. The record is from RNAcentral. Lineage: Bacteria; Pseudomonadati; Pseudomonadota; Gammaproteobacteria; Oceanospirillales; Halomonadaceae.
CCUACGGGAGGCUGCAGUGGGGAAUAUUGGACAAUGGGCGAAAGCCUGAUCCAGCCAUGCCGCGUGUGUGAAGAAGGCCUUCGGGUUGUAAAGCACUUUCAGUGGGGAAGAAAGCCUUGGGGCUAAUACCCUCGAGGAAGGACAUCACCCACAGAAGAAGCACCGGCUAACUCCGUGCCAGCAGCCGCGGUAAUACGGAGGGUGCGAGCGUUAAUCGGAAUUACUGGGCGUAAAGCGCGCGUAGGCGGUCUGAUAAGCCGGUUGUGAAAGCCCCGGGCUCAACCUGGGAACGGCAUCCGGAACUGUCAGGCUAGAGUGCAGGAGAGGAAGGUAGAAUUCCCGGGGUAGCGGUGAAAUGCGUAGAGAUCGGGAGGAAGACCAGUGGCGAAGGCGGCCUUCUGGACUGACACUGACGCUGAGGUGCGAAAGCGUGGGUAGCAAACAGGAUUAGAUACCCUAGUAGUC